Molecule: long non-coding RNA, 1181 nt
Organism: Melopsittacus undulatus (budgerigar)
Lineage: Eukaryota; Metazoa; Chordata; Aves; Psittaciformes; Psittaculidae
Exons: 2
Source: RefSeq, a predicted model, not a curated record
GCAGUCCUGCCCGCCGCACUCACUGCUACCGUGAGCAGGGCAACAGCGACCGGGUGACAAACCUGGACGUGCUUGUAGGAUGCUGAUAACCUCCUCAGUUCUUUUCCCAUCAUUCAGGUCCAGGUUAAUACCUAUGUUAAUACCAAGGAGAAAGGGAGCUACAUCUCUGGCUGGUGCCUCUGCUGGAAAAAAGAGAGCGAGGUUGGAAACCAGGCUCCUCUAAAGAAGAUAAGUCUCCAAAAGUAUUUGUAUUGUGCCACAGGUUUCUAAGAGGGUGCCAUUUUCCUGUGCAUCACUGUUCUUUUUAAACUUCCCAGGAAAACAAGUGCAGUGCCUCACUGGAGCUGGCAGCCUCUACCUUGCACAAAGAUGUAUUUCCUGAUGAUGAGAGAAAGAUACGUGAGCUGUUACUCUUCUCUGCACAGGGUUGUUUUUGUGUUUGUUUGUUUGGGGUUUUUUAAUCCCACCGAGGGAAGAGGACCAAAAAAGGAGGAGUAUUCACAUCUAUCUGUUUUCUUUCUUGGCUACCCAUUUGAGUAAUAGUUUGAAAAUUGCCAAUGUUCAAUUAGAGUUACCCUUUCCAAACAGAUGGCUAAUUAAAUGUUAAUAGCAUGAACAGGCAAAAUGUUUUAAACACCAUAAACCCCACAAAUGUGUGAGACAUUUUGAAUGCUAUAGCUGAGAGGUGAGGUAAAGCCAGAGCAAUCUAGAUGAGAGGACAUCAUGGUCAAUAAGAUCAAAGCUCUUGAAUUUCUCUGGCAUCUAAUGAAUUCCAACAGCAUUAUUAUUUUUUUUAAUCAGUCAAAACUCUCUUACAGUAGGAAUGACUUUGACAUGCCAUGGUCCACCUGCCAUUCAGUGUCAAGCACCUACAGCCAAAGACCUGGAAAAUUACAAUGGCUGUUUCCUAACCCAUACCUGCAAAUGAUUUUCAGAAGCUACAGAGGCACAGCAGCUGCUUGCUGGGAGAGAACACGAAUCUUCUCGUGGCAAUCCUGUAGGAGCAGGGAGAAGAGGAGGGGAAAAGAAGGAAGUCAUUCCAGUGCUACUGACGUCACAUGUUCACCCCUUGUGUGGGAGGGAGAAACAUCCAUGGGUGCUGCACUGGACAGCAUAUAAAUGAGACACAGCUUGGACUGCAGUAUCUCAUAGACCACUGUAUUAAAACUAGAUUUUCUUUA